This 491-nucleotide ribosomal RNA is filed under the name uncultured bacterium. RNAcentral describes it as "partial 16S ribosomal RNA". It matches the Rfam family "Bacterial small subunit ribosomal RNA", at positions 28 to 507 of the family's 1533-position model. The record is from RNAcentral.
GAUGAACGCUAGCUACAGGCUUAACACAUGCAAGUCGCGGGGCAGCAUGGGGGUUGCUUGCAUCCCCUGAUGGCGACCGGCGCACGGGUGAGUAACGCGUAUCCAACCUGCCCUUCACCACGGGAUAACCCGGCGCAAGUCGGACUAAUACCGUAUGUUGUCCAUUGACGGCAUCCGAUUUGGACGCAUGGCUUGGCUGUGAAAGGUUGGGUAUGCGUCCGAUUAGUUUGUCGGCGGGGUAACGGCCCACCGUGGGUACGAUAGGUAGGGGUGAUGAGAGGAAGGUCCCCCACAGUGGAACUGAGACACGGUCCAGACAACUACGGGAGGAAGGAGUGAGGAAUAUUGGUCAAUGGGCGUAAGCCUGAACCAGCCAAGUAGCGUGCAGGAUGACGGCCCUAUGGGUUGUAAACUGCUUUUAUGCGGGGAUAAAGUGGCCCACGUGUGGGCUUUUGCAGGUACCGCAUGAAUAAGGACCGGCUAAUUCCGUG